Long non-coding RNA from Cyprinodon tularosa, 825 nucleotides. RefSeq lists it as uncharacterized. The transcript is spliced from 3 exons. The record is from RefSeq and is a predicted model, not a curated record. NCBI's taxonomy places the organism in Eukaryota, Metazoa, Chordata, Actinopteri, Cyprinodontiformes, Cyprinodontidae.
CUAUCAAAACUUGCACCGGAAAGGCCAGAGGAGUGGGACAAGCACUUGGAUGCUGUGAUGUUCGGACUCAGGACUAAGCGCCAAGUUACCACUAAAUUCUCCCCAUAUUUUUUAAUGUUUGGGAGAGAGGCAAGGUACCCCAGCGAGAUCCCUGAAGAAUACAGGGUGGAUGGGAGUGUUGAGAACAACAUUUCAGUUGAGGGAAUGACUGAGGACAUCCUUAAACUGGAUGAGGCACUUCAAAGUGCAAUAAAUAAUAACCAGGCCAAAACUCCCCAAAAAAAUGGCCAAAAAAACUGCCCCACCCUUUCAGGUGGGUAUGAAGGUCUGGAGGCUUAAUGUUAGGAGCCAGCAGAGAAAAGGGGGAAAAUUAGACCCUAAUUAUCUAGGGCCCUACACAAUUGUGGCCAUAGAUGGCAAAAGUGUGGACCUGAUCAACAGCCAAGGAGUGAAAAUUCCUAAAAUUAGUCGGGACCAUUUGGUUACUUAUCAGGAGGAGCAAAGAAGAGUGCCACACAAGAUAACAGAUUGCACACCUACCCCGCCGUCAUCUCACCCGCCUGCCACCCCGCCGUCAUCACCCGCCUGCCACCCCGCUGUCAUCUCACCCGCCUGCCACCCCUCCGUCAUCACACCCGCCUGCCACCCCGCCGUCAUCACACCCGCCUGCCACCCCGCCUUCAUCAGGUCCGCCCAAAAGGACCUUCUCUAGCCUCUCCACAGCCACUGCCAUUACAGAUGUGAAGGACGCAUGGGAGGGGAAAAAACCAUAUGUUCUCCUUUCCAAAAUUGGGCCCUUCAAAGUGUUCUUUCGGGACAUAUUCA